CCUACGGGUGGCAGCAGUGAGGAAUAUUGGUCAAUGGUCGGGAGACUGAACCAGCCAAGCCGCGUGAGGGAUGAAGGUACAGAGUAUCGUAAACCUCUUUUGUCAGGGAACAAAGGCGGGGACGUGUCCCCGGCUGAGUGUACCUGAAGAAAAAGCAUCGGCUAACUACGUGCCAGCAGCCGCGGUAAUACGGAGGAUGCGAGCGUUAGCCGGUUUUAUUGGGUUUAAAGGGUGCGAAGGCGGCCUGUUAAGUCAGCGGUAAAAGCCCGGGGGUCAACCCCGGCGAGCCGUUGAAACGGGCGGGCUGGAGUUGGAGAGAGGUACGCGGAAGGCGCGGUGCAGCGGUGAAAUGCUUAGAUAUCGCGCAGAACCCCGAUUGCGAAGGCAGCGUACCGGCUCCACACUGACGCUGAGGCACGAAAGCGUGGGUAUCGAACAGGAUUAGAUACCCCGGUAGUC
This 459-nucleotide ribosomal RNA is filed under the name uncultured bacterium. RNAcentral describes it as "partial 16S ribosomal RNA". It matches the Rfam family "Bacterial small subunit ribosomal RNA", at positions 338 to 795 of the family's 1533-position model. The record is from RNAcentral.